Molecule: small nucleolar RNA, 87 nt
Filed under: Zostera marina
Lineage: Eukaryota; Viridiplantae; Streptophyta; Magnoliopsida; Alismatales; Zosteraceae
Description: Small nucleolar RNA SNORD25
Rfam family: Small nucleolar RNA SNORD25
About the family: U25 is a member of the C/D class of snoRNA which contain the C (UGAUGA) and D (CUGA) box motifs.
Source: Rfam by way of RNAcentral
AUCGGCGAUGAUGAGCUUUUUACAGACCUGUAAUGAUUUUUGCGGAAAUGAUCGCAUAUUAUUGAACAUCUAAGGGGCUGAGCUGUC